This 491-nucleotide ribosomal RNA is filed under the name uncultured bacterium. Its description in RNAcentral is "partial 16S ribosomal RNA". It matches the Rfam family "Bacterial small subunit ribosomal RNA", at positions 29 to 506 of the family's 1533-position model. The record is from RNAcentral.
AGUGAACGCUGGCGGUAGGCCUAACACAUGCAAGUCGAACGGCAGCACAGUAAGAGCUUGCUCUUACGGGUGGCGAGUGGCGGACGGGUGAGGAAUACAUCGGAAUCUACUUUUUCGUGGGGGAUAACGUAGGGAAACUUACGCUAAUACCGCAUACGACCUACGGGUGAAAGCAGGGGAUCUUCGGACCUUGCGCGAUUGAAUGAGCCGAUGUCGGAUUAGCUAGUUGGCGGGGUAAAGGCCCACCAAGGCGACGAUCCGUAGCUGGUCUGAGAGGAUGAUCAGCGACACGGGAACUGAGACACGGUCCAGGCUCCUAGGGGAGGCAGCAGUGGGGAAUAUUGGACAAUGGGCGCAAGCCUGAUCCAGCCAUACCGCGUGGGUGAAGAAGGCCUUCGGGUUGUAAAGCCCUUUUGUUGGGAAAGAAAAGCAGCAGGUUAAUACCCCGCUGUUCGGACGGUACCCAAAGAAUAAGCACCGGCUAACUGCGU